AGAGUUUGAUCCUGGCUCAGAACGAACGCUGGCGGCGUGGAUAAGACAUGCAAGUCGAACGGGAACUUUUUUGGUAGCAAUACUAGAGAAGUUCUAGUGGCGAACGGGUGCGUAACACGUGGGCAAUCUACCGAGAAGUGGGGGAUAGCUCGCCGAAAGGCGAAUUAAUACCGCAUGUGAUCAGAGGCGACAUCGUCUCGAAAUCAAAGCCGGGGCAACCUGGCGCUUUUUGUGGGGCCCGCGGCCUAUCAGCUUGUUGGUGAGGUAACGGCUCACCAAGGCUAUGACGGGUAGCUGGUCUGAGAGGACGACCAGUCACACUGGGACUGAGACACGGCCCAGACACCUACGGGUGGCAGCAGUCGAGAAUUUUUCUCAAUGGGGGAAACCCUGAAGGAGCGACGCCGCGUGGAGGAUGAAGGUCUUCGGGUUGUAAACUCCUGUCAUUUGGGAACAAGUGCCGGUACGUAACUGCUACCGGCUUGAUAGUACCAGAAGAGGAAGGGACGGCUAACUCUGUGCCAGCAGCCGCGGUAAUACAGAGGUCUCAAGCGUUGUUCGGAUUCAUUGGGCGUAAAGGGUGUGUAGGUGGCGCCGUAAGUGGGGUGUGAAAUUUCGGAGCCUUAACUCCGAAACUGCAUUCCAUACUGCGGUGCUUGAGGACUGGAGAGGAGACUGGAAUUUACGGUGUANCAGUGAAAUGCGUANAUUUCGUANGGAAGACCAGUG
This 729-nucleotide ribosomal RNA is filed under the name uncultured bacterium. RNAcentral's name for it is "bacterial SSU rRNA". It matches the Rfam family "Bacterial small subunit ribosomal RNA", at positions 8 to 714 of the family's 1533-position model. The record is from RNAcentral.